RNAcentral lists this ribosomal RNA (465 nucleotides) under Vreelandella stevensii. RNAcentral's name for it is "partial 16S ribosomal RNA". It matches the Rfam family "Bacterial small subunit ribosomal RNA", at positions 338 to 795 of the family's 1533-position model. The record is from RNAcentral. Lineage: Bacteria; Pseudomonadati; Pseudomonadota; Gammaproteobacteria; Oceanospirillales; Halomonadaceae.
CCUACGGGGGGCUGCAGUGGGGAAUAUUGGACAAUGGGGGGAACCCUGAUCCAGCCAUUCCGCGUGUGUGAAGAAGGCCCUCGGGUUGUAAAGCACUUUCAGUGAGGAAGAACGCCUGGUGGUUAAUACCCAUCAGGAAAGACAUCACUCACAGAAGAAGCACCGGCUAACUCCGUGCCAGCAGCCGCGGUAAUACGGAGGGUGCGAGCGUUAAUCGGAAUUACUGGGCGUAAAGCGCGCGUAGGUGGCUUGAUAAGCCGGUUGUGAAAGCCCCGGGCUCAACCUGGGAACGGCAUCCGGAACUGUCAAGCUAGAGUGCAGGAGAGGAAGGUAGAAUUCCCGGUGUAGCGGUGAAAUGCGUAGAGAUCGGGAGGAAUACCAGUGGCGAAGGCGGCCUUCUGGUCUGACACUGACACUGAGGUGCGAAAGCGUGGGUAGCAAACAGGAUUAGAUACCCGAGUAGUC